Molecule: non-coding RNA, 168 nt
Filed under: marine eukaryotic metagenome
Source: RNAcentral
CAUCGCGAGGUGUGGCUGGAGGAAGUCCAAUGCAAAGCUGCGGGGCGACGUACAGGAACUCCAUCUGAGGUGUGGUACAUCCGGGACGAGUUGGCACGUGACAACGAAGUCCUCCAUUUGCGAUUGGGGUGUGCUUUAUAAAUGGAGCGUUUACGCAGUGACAGUUCA